Zeugodacus cucurbitae (melon fly) is the source of this 366-nucleotide long non-coding RNA. RefSeq lists it as uncharacterized. The transcript has 2 exons. Lineage: Eukaryota; Metazoa; Arthropoda; Insecta; Diptera; Tephritidae. The record is from RefSeq and is a predicted model, not a curated record.
AUUACUUUAAGCAAAGUUUGAGGAAGCUGAAAAAUAUAGCGCAGCUUUCCUCGCAUAUACAGUCAACUAGAGGAAUGAAAAUUUUUAUUUUGGAAUUGAAGAUUUUUGGUUUAGGGUUAUUUCUAUAACUAAAACUUGUUAAUAGAUUUGGUGGGAUACAAAAUAAUAUAAUAUUUGAAUCCCAAAAUACGCCACGCUUUGGACGCGAUUUUGGAAUAUCUUCUGGUGCUAUCGUCUUAACGGUCUCAGUUGGUGUAUCAUAUGAAAGCGCUUCUCUAUUAUAUUCGUCCGAGAGCUGUGUAUAACCUGUGUUGAUGACAACUGCGGCGAAGAGUAAACACACCAAAAACAAUUUAUGAGAUGCCA